This 34186-nucleotide long non-coding RNA is filed under the name Olea europaea (common olive). Its description in RNAcentral is "long non-coding RNA (OEUR_LNC002304)". The record is from RNAcentral. Lineage: Eukaryota; Viridiplantae; Streptophyta; Magnoliopsida; Lamiales; Oleaceae.
UUAAUUUACGUUUUUAGUACCUAAUUCCAUGGCCAGGGCCACAUGCGAUAGUCUCAAUCCACAAGUUCGAGGUGCCGGGACCUAUAGAGACACAAUCAUCUCCGGUGCCAAUCUGAGAGUUCAUAAUUGUGACUCCUGUUGAUUUCUCCACGUGAAUUCCGUCGGUGUUUGGGCUGUUGCCUGGUGUAGAAACCUUUAUUCCCGCUAGCUUGGCAUUGUGGCAUCCAUCAACAAGAAUGUUGAACUUCUGGCUAUUUAUUGAAGACAAUCCAUUCAUUAUGAUGUUGUUGGAAUUGUAGAAGGCCAGUGUCUGAGCAAGAAAGAAUCGAAAAAUUAUGUUAGAAUGUACAACAUGGCAAAAAAUAAAAUCACUUUCUUCUUUAUUAACAUACCGUUGCUCCGGUUGGACAACUAUUGCCGGAAUUUUUGCAUGCCCACAAAUUAGCCCCUUGGGCAUCUAGGGUUCCACCAAUAACAGAAACUCCGGUCACACUUUCGAACUUGAUCCAGUUACCAGAAUUUCCAAUAACAUCAAAAUCAGAUGGAGCUACUAGUGUCCCAUCAAUUUGAAUCGUUAUAGCAGUGUUUUUGCAUGACUUGCCGACAAAAGUUGCAGCUCCAAGCAAGUAUCUUCCCGGUGGCACGUAAAUGGUGGCUGGCUGCGUAGAAGCACAUGCUGAGGUCCAUGCACUCAAGAAUGCCUUGGUACAAUCAGUUUUUCCAUCAGAUUUUGCUCCCAAACUUUGGACAUUGUAAUUAGCAUUGGCUGCAAUUGAUGAGUAGUUGAAGAAGGUCAGGAGGAAAUAUUGGAAAGCAAGGAAAAAAGGUAAAGCUCCAGCCAUUUUUUUUUUCGCACGUAUGUAUGUGUGUGUUAUAGAGAGAGGGAGAAAGGGGGAGGGGAUGAGGAGAUGAAGCAGUUAUAAGAGGUAUUUAUAGGCUAUAAGUUGAGGGCAAAUUUAAACAGUGAUGGUGUUUAUGAGGUCACGAUCACUGUUCUCGUACCACACCGAGAAGAAAAAUUGUUUGGACAAAUGAGAAUUUCAAGUUAUUUAGCGCAAUAAGAAAAAUAUGUAUGACAAUAGAAUUAUGGCAUAGAAUAAAAAACGUGUUAGUUAAAUUGUGGCUGAAGAAACAAAAUACAGGCACAUGGUUGGAUGUUUGUUUUGACAAAUAAGAAAUUUAACUUAUUUAAUUUAAUUAGUGCAAUAUUAAUUUAUUGAUCAAAUCUAAGCAAAAAGAAAAGCUUUGACAAUGGGGAAAUAAAUAUGGCUUAGAUUAAACACAUAAUAGAAAAUUUGCGUCUCAUAAAAUAAUGUAUAGUUAGAUCAAUAUAAAUGAAUAUAUGAUAAAUUAAUUUUAUAUAUAUAUAUAUAUAUAUAUAUAGAGAGAGAGAGAGAGAGAGAGAGAGAGAGAGAGAGAGAGAGAGAGAGAAUUAAUAGGCUAGUCCAUCAUCAUUUAACUAGGAUAAUUAAAUAGGUGUUCAUAUCCCUAUCACGUUUAACAUUUUAAAAAUUACUUCACGAAAUAUAUAAACAAAUUAAUAAAUUAACUAGAAUUUUAUUCAAUCCCAAUAUUAUCAUUUUAUGGAGAUUUUAUUGUACACACACAGCCACAAUGGUUGAUGCUCUAAAAACUAAAAUAUUCAAAAUUCUCGUGUCUAUUUUAAACUGAAUACACAACAAAUCCUUAAAUAUAAAAUCCUCAAACUUAAAACUAUAAUUUGACAGCAAUAUUGACCAGGUGUGGGAUGACGUAAAGUUGGUCACAAAAGGGAUACACACUAUUGAUUGCAUCAAAUUUUCGUUUAUCAUCAUCAUAAUAAUAAUAAUAAUAGUAAUAAUAAUAAUAAUAAUAAUAAUAAUAAUAAUAAUAAUAAUAAUAAUAAUAUAUAUAAAUAAAUAAAUAAAUUUAAUUGCUGAAACUCUACUUCUAUAUAUCUCUCUAAAUCAGUAUUAAAUUUUGAAGAAAAUUUAAUGGACAUUAAGUACACAUUUAUGAAAGCACACUUCAUAUUUGAAUUAGAAUGAGACAUCACAACUCACACCAAAAUUUAAAGGUUGACUUAUUUAAUAUUAUAUAGAGGUUUUUGCUGUAACAUGUCAUAAUAAAUAAAAUAAGUAAAACGUAAAAUUUUGAUUUAAAUCCUCUUGCCAUUAUUUGUUGUGUAUAUAUUUAACUUUUGAACAAAGAAUGAAUUUCAUCACUACGCAAACCACAUAUUGAAUACAAUUUUUAAUGGAAAAAGAUAUUGUGCGCGUUGUUGUUUGAAUCAUCGUCAAAAUUUUUAAGUAUGGUGACAAGUUUCAAGAAAUUCGUAUAUUGGACUACUUCCAACAACUAAAUCAUUAUUUUAGUUAAGAAAUUAAACCAAUAUCCAUUUGUUCCAAAAUAUUAGUUACAACUCAAAUUUCUUACUAAUCAAUUUAGUCCAAAGUUCAAAAAUAAAUUAAACUGACCAAAAUAAUGAAUGUUAUAUUUUUGAACUAAUGUUUUUUCCUCUGUAAAGUGGGACAUACUUUUAAUAGUCUUUUAAUCAAGACAUAUACUUUAAUAAUAACACCGAAGUUCUCUGUUAUGCUCUUACUUACGCAAUUUAAAAGUAGUCUAAUUUUAUUCUUUAUAAGGAAAGAAGUACCUCCUAACUUUUCAUUAGUAUCUCAAGUCAAGUUUUGAGGUAGGCGUUCUUUCCUUAUAGUCCAAAUUAUCAUCUAUAGAUGUGUCAAAUCCAGAACGAGCUUUGAUGCUGCUUUAACUAACACAUUAUAAUUAGAGUCCUUAAUAAACCCUUCUUAAAUUACAUCAAAAUUACAUAGUUAAUUAGAUUUAAGUAACAAUAGGGUACGAGAAAUAAAUAGGAAUGGAUAGCCAACGAAAUAAUAAUGAAUAGAAAUAAAAUUAAGGUGGUAAUUCAUUAAUUGAUCCACAGCCAUUCUUUCUGCUAAUAUUAAAGUUGAAGAUUAAUUUCCGGCGAGAAUGUUGCCUAAAUUACUCAUUUCUCAUUUGAGUUACAAAUACUGUCUUUUUUAAUUUCAACCCUUUUUCUUAUACGUUAUAUCAAUGGUUGAAAUUUCAAAUUUCACUUUAUGAGAUCCAUGAUUUUAAAUUCUAAAUAAUAAAAAAAAAAAAAUCAAUACAAUGAAACAAUAGAUUAAUUUUUUAUUCUUAAAAAGUUUAGUGUGAAGCACACGAACUUUUUCCUUUAAAACAAUUACCGACUUAUGAUAUGCUCCUCGUAUAGAUUAUCUGCUCCUACUAAGUCCUAUCUUUGAAAAUCUUAUGCGAAAAGGGAUAAAAUUUGGUAAAUCUUUACACUUUUUCCUUGCAUAAUGAAGAUCAUUUUAUCUAGCUAUAUAAUCCUUCUAUGCAGGAUGUCUUAUUAAUAUUUAAUUUAUUAUUUAAGAGGGUGUUUAGUGGAGAUUAAAAUUAGAUUUUUUAGUAGAUUGUGAUAAAAGUUUUUGAAAUGUGAGAUUAAAAAGUUGUAUGACCAUAAAAAAUGUGGUUAAUAUUGGUUGUUUGACUUUGAUUUAAAUUAAAAUCAGAUAUUAAUCCGUACCAAACGGACUGUAAAUUAUAUGUUCGGUUGGGUUAAUUGGAAUUCCCUCAUUAUAUACAGAAAAUUCUAGGUUGGUGUUGAAAUUAUAGUGUGUAUAAUAAAUUUGCCUAACUAUUACAAUGUAUGAGAUCCUUUUAUAUGAUUAUAAAUAACUCUAUAAAAAAUAAUUAUUUGAUAAUCACACAAAUUAUAAAUAAAAAUAAUUCCACACGAUUGGAAAGGUAACAUGGUGAAUAAUCAUUCUAGAUUUUCAACAUCUCUCUUCAAACUCAAUAUGAUGUAGAAAUCAAAUUGAGUUUGAAAAUUAAAUUGAUCCAAAUAUAUCACCAUUUUCAAGGCUAGCUCAAACAAUCAAAUGCGGAGCUACAAGUUUAGUUUAAUGGGGACAUAACUUAAAUAUGUAAGUUUGGAAACACGACAAUAAAUGAGAUUGUUAAAUAGUUUGAACAGUUAUCAUACUUCAAAAACACUUCAAAAUAACCUCUUUAUUAAUAUCAUCAAGGAUCCAUUUGUAUGUUUACUCUUCACAUUUGAUCUCGAAUGCUAACAAUAUUUCUAUAUUAUUUACUCUAUUUGUUUACUUUGUUAUUAUUUAUGUAGGACAUUGACACUCUCUAUUAGAAUACCAUUCCAUAGUUGUUGCACAUCAGGUCCAAUGACCGAAAAUGAAGAAAAAUACUUGAAUAAAAUUUACUAAUUAAAAACAUGGAAGAUGCAAUAAAAAAUCUUGAAAUAAUUCAUCGAAACACUUGAAAAGAAAAAAUAACUCAACUUCAAAACAAAAGAAGUUAAAACGAACCGCGCAUAUAUAAUAAAAGUAGUUAAACGAAAAAAAAGUUUCUAAUUGGAUUUUGAGAGAAUUUUUUAUUUAGCUAAUGAUGUUCAAUUUGGUCACUAUCACUAUUUACGUAAAAGUUCUAAAUUUAAUAUCAAACCUUUAAAAAAUGAUUUUUUUUUGAAGACUAACCUUAUAAUGAAUACACAUUUUUAAAUGAAAAAAAAAAUUGUGAAAGUUGCAGUUUGCAUCACCCGUCACAUUUAUUAAUAGCUGAAGCUAUAACAAAAUAUUUAUGGCCAAAUUUUCAAGAAAUUCGUAUCCGCUACAAAUUUAAGUUGCUUGUUGUAAUACAUUCCAUUUUAAAUUAUUGUCUCAGGUAUGUUUUUCGAAAGUUUUGAAUGAACAGGGAUUUAUAUUCCGAAUGAGCAGUUAUUCAUAUAUUAAAUUUUGCUUUUUAAGGUAAUUAUUUGAAUUAAACCAAAUCACUGUUUCGUGCAAUUCUCAGUGUGUCAAUUUGAAAAUAUAUACCGUAAUAUAGGCAGAAGAUUGAGGCAAAAACUUAUGUUAGAAAUGCACUUUAAUUACGUCAUUUAUAUACCGUAAUAUAGGCAGAAGAUUGAGGCAAAAACUUAUGUUAGAAAAGCACUUUAAUUACGUCAUUUAUUCUUAUUUUAUCAAUGGCUUGCAAGUCAAAAUGACAUUAAUUGAAUUUUCCAUCAUUCCUAGACAGUUGCUAAUUAUAUUAAAAUCUUGCCUUUUCACGUUUAAAAUUAUGGUCGUUAAAAGCAAAUUUCUUGUACUAAUAUCUAUAGUGUAAUUGGAAAUCUGUUUAUAACUUUAGUUCUUCACUUCCUUUCAUAUGAAAACUUUAUAUCCUUGUAUCUAAUAUAGUCUUCUUUUUUUUUUUUUUUUCUAUGCUCAUUUUUAAUUUUGUACUGUAGAAAUUACAUAUAGGUUCUACCCUUAUUUUAAAUGAUUUCUAAUUAUACAAGCAACUAUUUGGUUGAACCAAGGCAGAAGACUUCCCGUCGGCAUUGAUGCUUGACGACUGAGCCGGUUCAUUGCAACUUCUGUUGACGAAUUUCCAUAUAUGUUUUGAUAUGUUAUAUCACUAACCUGAAAACUGAAAAAGGAAAAAAAAAAAUUAAGACCCUUCUUCAGAAUUAAUUUAGCAGAUUCGUGAUAUGCAGGCCCGGAAAUCAGCUUGUGGACAAGUUUGGAGCCGACCGGACUAAAGUUCACUAAAGCGGUUACUUUCAGCAGUUAUAUGUCAAGCAAUUAACAUGUGCAAAGCAGUUUCUACAGACGAGUUGUUUAUCUGUCUGGUUGGGGCAAUUUCCAGGUAGUUUAUGUUGGAAAUAUAAUAGAGUAACGACUUUAAAACCAAAAACAAACUUACCAACCUUACCGAAAAUUAGACAGAAUAAUGGCAAGGAAACAAGAAAAAUUAGUGUUCUGGGUGGGAAACUUUUGAAUUCUUUCCUUAAUUGCUGGGGUGAUAGCCAUACGAAUUUGUUAUAUGCUCAGGGCAUGAGACACAAAAGCAUAGAGUGCAUUGUUGUAAUCCAUUGUCAAGUUUCGUGAUGUUCUGUUAUUGUGACGAUAAAAGUUGGGGAUGUAUUUUCGUGUACUUCAUGUGUGCGUUUAUAAAUUAUGUCCCUUUCAUAAAGUUCUGCAUUCCUUUAUUACAUAAAGAAAUCUGAGUGUAAUUAGGUGGCUGACUUAAGAAACUUAGUGUAUUAUAGGCGACUAUUUACUCCAUCAACUUUGACCCCAUAACAAUAGACAACGAACUAAUGAUGAAUAGAGACAAAAUUAAGAUGGUAAUUAAUUAUUUGACCCAUACGCCAUUCUUUCUCUACAUAGUUCAAAUUGAAGAUUAAUUUCCGGCGAGAAUGUUGCCUAAUUCACUCAUUUCUCAUUUUAAGUUACAAGUACUCUUAGUCUUCUUUAUUUUCAACCCAUUUUGUUAUCUGUUUCGUCAACAGUUGAAAUCACUUUUUUAAAUCCAUGUUUUUUCAAUUUUGAUUAGAAAAGUCAAUAAUGAACAAUAGAUUAAUUUGUUAUAGAUUCAGUGUGAAGUACGUGAACUUUUUCCGCUGCAUUCCUUGAAAACAAUAAGUACUAAUGACCAUAACACGUCAUAUUAACUAGUUAAAGUUUCCCUACAUUCCCGAUCAGAUGCAAUGCGUCAUUAGAGGGAAAUCCUCACGAAAAUGUGUACUAGGAUGAAGAUAUAUUUUCGAGGUCAAUCCUAAUAUUUUGUGGUUAUACCAACUUUAAAUUUGAGACCCUGCUGAAGAAAAAUUAUGGGAUAAUUAGGCCCAAUACGGCCUAUUAAUUAAAAAAUUGAUAAUUACCCUUUCACUUUGCAAACUUUCGUUACCCGUACAAUAUACAUUCUCAGAAGAAAUAUGGAUGCAAUUCAACCCCAACCAAUCUGUAAAUAAGUGAUUUCUCUUUGCCAAAUCUGCCAUUGUGUGUUGAGAAUUAAUCAGCUAUUAAACUGAACAUUUGUUCGUGGUGCAGAUAUCGAUGGCAAAUGUUGUAGAGUUCAUAGAACAAUGAUUACAAAUAUCCAUUAGCCUUUAUUUAACCUAUAUAUUGGGCUACAAAUAUUGUGUUAUGAUUUUGUCCAUCAUAAUCCCCCGUCCCCUGAUUUGGAGCUCUGUUAGUAUAGUAGGAAAUUACACAAUCAGGAUAUAAAUCCAUGGUAACCUAGUCUUUCAAGAUUUUGAAGGGUAUGGAUAUAAAUCCACACUCUUGAUCACCACCAUCUUAGUUUAGAGACUCCAAAUACUAUUCUCUAUAUGGUCUUUUUUCGGAGGGAGGGGUAAUAAAAGGAUGAAAGAAAAAGAAAAAACUGAAAAUUCACAUAUGGAGUGGACUAUAAUUAGUUCUAGAGGCAAAUAUACAAAUCACUAUCGUGGCAGUGAGUGGUGGUGGUCUAUUUAGACGAAAAUGUGUGAGUUUUUAUUGUUGAGGCUUUAUCAAAAGAGUUUGCCACUUUUUUUACCUCACUUUUUUCAAUUUUGUCACUUUUUUGAAAAUUUGUCAUUUUAUUGAAAUUUUUUGCCAAAAGUCUUAACAGAUAAAAUAAAUACUAAUUAUUAUAUGAGAAAACCACCAUCAUACUUUUUUUUCUUUUUUUUCUUUUUUUUUUACACUUGCCUCACUUUUUUGAGCUAGUAACUUUUUUUUAAAGUGUCAUUUUUUAAAAAAAAAAAAUUCUCACUUUUUUUUUAUUUUUUUGGUUACUUUUUGAGUGUUUGUCACUUUUUAUUUUCUUUCACUUUUUUUUAUCUUUGUCACUUUUUUUUAAUUAAUAUCACUUUUUUUUAAUUCGUCACUUUUUCAAAUUUCUACCACUUUUUUUUUUUUUUUUUUUUUCCUUUUUUUUUUCUUUGUCACUUUUUUUUAAUUAAUAUCACUUUUUUUUAAUUCGUCACUUUUUCAAAUUUCUACCACUUUUUUUUUUUUUUUUUUUUUCCUUUUUUUUUUCUUUGUCACUUUUUUUUAAUUAAUAUCACUUUUUUUUAAUUCGUCACUUUUUCAAAUUUCUUCCCCUUUUUUUUUUUUUUUUUGGAUUUUUGUCACUUUUUUAGUGUUUAUCACUAAUUUUAGUUACCUACUUGAUUUUUAUCAUUUUUCUUAGUCACAAACAUCAAAUUUUAAUAAAAAUGACAUUGCAUAUCAUUUUCUAAUAAAAAAGUAACACUUCACUUUUAAAGUGACAUUGUGUCACUUUUGUUUUUUAAAUUUUUUUAUUAAAAUGGUGAUAAUUUAAAAUUAAAAAAUAGUGACAUUUUAUCACUUUUUAAUAGCACAUAGUAUUUUUUACUUCCAAAAAACUUUUCAUGUGAUUUUUGUAAGUUGCCCUAAAAUCAUCAUAUUUUUGCUUGAAUCAUCUUAUAAAUACUGUGGAAUAAUUUGGGACCCUGUUGAGAAAAAUUAUGGAAUAAUUAGGUCCAAUGCGGCCCAUUAAUUAAAAAAUUGAUAAUUACCUUUUCACUUUGCAAACUUUCGUUACCCGUACAAUAUAUGUUCUCAAAAGAAAGAUGGAUACAAUUCAACCCCAACCAAUCCGUAAAUAAGUGAUUUCUUUUUGCCAAAUCUGGGUGAUUUAUCUAUCACACACAAGUUCCUUGGCUUUUCUUGAGAUAAAUAGGUUGCGCCUCUUUUUGCUCCUCUUCCUGGCUGCCUUUCUUCUCUCUUCAGUUGGCACUCUAAUCGGCACUUGAGCACCAGACUUUGGAAUCUGUCCCGUGCAUUUUCCCCCUGCUCAUUGCCCCAUUCACUGUUCUUGUUUGGCUGCCUGUGUGCAGCGUUUUGGUCGAUUCUUAGAUCAUUCUUCUGUGAUCUUUGAGUGAGUAAUCUUGGUCCAAUUAGGGUAGUAUUGCUGUUUGAUUUGGGGCCCUUGAUCUGAGCCCAGAUUCAUCCACUUUUGGAGCCAAUCAAUUGGAGUUUUGAUAGUAAAGUAUUGUUAUUUCAUUUACUCAAUUUAUUCUCAUUGUCCUGUGAUUAUAUAACUAACUUUGUGUUGAUUAUUUGGUUGUUUGAUGAUGAUUUCUCCACAAAUCGGUAUCAGAACUAUUUUUUUUUUCUCCGUGACUUCGAAAUUGGCCGUUGUGUGUUGAGAAUUAAUCAGCUAUUAAACUGAAUUUUUGUUCGUGGUGCAAAUAUUGAUGGCAAAUGUUGUAGAGUUCAUAGAACAAUGAUUACAAAUAUCCAUUAGCCUUUAUUCAACCUAUGUAUUGAACUACAAAUAUUGUGUUAUGAUUUUAUCCAUCAUAAUCCCCUGUCCUCUGAUUUGGAGCUUUGUUAGUAUAGUACGAAAUGACACAAUCAGGAAUAGGGCUUUCCUUGGUCUCCUUGGUAACCUAGUCUUUCAAGAUUUUGAAGGGUAUGGAUAUAAAUCCACACUCUUGAUCACAAUCCUCUUAGUUUAGAGACUCCAAAUACUAUUCUCUGUAUGGUCUUUUUUCCGGGGGACGGGUAAUAAAAGGAUAAAAGAAAAAGAAAAAAACCUAAAAUUCACAUAUGAAGUGGACUAUAAUUAGCUCUAGAGGCAAAUAUACAAAUCACUAUCGUGGGAGUGACUAGUGGUGGUCUAUUCAGACUGAAACGUGUGAGUUUUUAUUGUUAAGGCUUUAUCAAAAGAGUUUGUCACUUUUUUUUCCCUCACUUUUUUUAAUUUUAUCACUUUUUUGAAAAUUUGUCAUUUUAUUGAAACUUUUUACCAAAAGUCUUAACAGAUAAAAUAGAUACUAAUUAUUCAAUGAGAAAACCACUAUCAUACUAUUUUUAUCACUUUUUUUAGCGUUUGUUACUUUUUUUAAAAUUUUGUCACUUUUUUUUUUCGUCACAUUAUCCUUUUUUUUACUUGCCUCACUUUUUUGAGUUAGUAACUUUUUUUGAAUGUGUCAUUUUUUUUAAAAAAAAAUUUGUCACUUUUUUUUUUGUUAUUUUUUGAGUGUUUUGUCACGUUUUAUUUUCUGUCACUUUUUUUAUUUGAGUAACUUUUUUUAAUUAAUAUCACUUUUUUUUAAUUCGUCACUUUUUCAAAUUUAUACCACUUUUUUAUUUUUAUUAUGAUUAUUAUUUCACUGUAACUAUUUUUAUCAUUUUUUCACUAUAACUAUUUUAUACAAAAUUGACUAUGCAUUUGAGUGGUUUUAUGUACAAUAUUGGAUAAUGUAGACUGCGAGAGAUAGUAUAUCGAAAUGAUGAAAAUGACGAUAAAAUACAAAUGAGCUUCUAAUUUUAUAUUAUUUCAUACUAUCUUAAUUUGCUCCCCAAUGAUGUGUUGUACUGAAUUCUGCAAAUUCAAGUUGUUAGUAGAAUAAUUCCUCUUGAACAGGCUCAAAAACAGAAGGAAACAGACUGAUGUGUGAAUUAAUUAUUGAUUGCUAUAUAUAUAUAUAUUUUUUCAAACUUUCCAAUCCCGAGUAGACACUUGUCUCUCCUUGUUUUCAAUCUGUCUCCAAACUUGUUUAUAUAGCAUGUUUGUUGUUGGUAUUUCUUUAAAAGGUAUUAAAAUAGCUAAGAAGUUAUUGUAUUAUUGGGUUGUGAGUAAUAUAUAUUUAUACAUUUUUUUACUUCUCUAGUGAAGCCAUUCUAUUUAUAAUUAGAAUAAUGCCCCGUUUGACCUCCAUUAUUUCAAUUUAUAAAUUUUGAAAUAAUAUUUUUGAAGAAUGUGUGGUUGAAAAAGAAUGAAAAGUUUUCGAUUAUCAAGUAAUAUUAUUUUAUGGAUGAUUGUGUGGUUAAAAAUAAUGGAGAGAAUUAUAAUUUGAAAUAAUGGGGCCAAACUGGGUUAAAUUCUUAUGUUUUUGAAAGGGGUAAUUACCAAAAAAACAUUCAUAUCGUUUUCACUCAUUGAGAAAACAGUCCAUAUCAAUUCAAACUUGACAUUCACACACUCAUUUUAAUCUUUCUUAUAGAGUUGGUCCUUUUUGUCAUGUUCCGUUAAAUUCCAAUUUGCUUGAAAGGUUCUUGUUGUUCACCUUAAUUAAGCAAAUCGUCCAUAUCAUUUUAAUUUUGAUAUUUGAUUAACAUUUCUUUACGUAAGAGGUCCUGAUGAGUUAACAUCCUAAUACUAAACUCAAGCUAUAUGCACUAAAGUGCUACCACUUCGUGCUGGAGACUAAUGAAUGUGUUGUUUCUUAACCUAUCUAAUCAAGACGGACAACAUUGUCACAACUUAAAAACUUCAAGACGAAAAACAUGCUCAAACUAUUUUAGAUUCGUUUAGCUGACUUGGUAAAAAAAUCCAUGUAAUACUUGCUUCCGUGACGUUUUUAAUUCUUGAUUUGCAGUGAAUUCUGGUUUAUUUUUCAACUUAUAAUAAUUUGUUUAUCAAGUGCCCUUUUUCUUGCAAUGAUUGCACCAUCAACAAUGAGGCCAUCGCCAUGACUUUCAGAUGCUAUAAUAUGCUUCAUCUUCUUCUUUAAAUAUAGAGCAUCAUAUACUUCUUUGAUGGUUAGAGUAUUACAACUAUAUAAAAUCCUGUCUCUAAACGACAUGUAUAAAGUGGGCAAUGAACACAAUAAAAUCAUCCCUAAUCUUCUUCAUCAUAUUUGAACUCAAAGAUCUCGAAAUUAUCGACGAUUUCCUUAAAAGUAGUCAGGUGAUCUUCAAGUAAUGUACAUUUUGUCAUAUGAUGAGAAUAUAGAUGUUGCAUCAAAUGCAAUUUGCUAGUAAGAUUCUUUGUCAUAUUUAAUUGCUUCAAUUUUAGCCAUAAUGCAGCGAUUGACUUCUCCUUCAAGAUGCCAUGAAGAAUAUUAUUUAAAUGAUAAAGAUGUAUUUAAGAUAGGGUCACCUUUCGAUCCCUCUAUUAUUUUUCCUCUGGGGUCCAAGUUAUAGGCAUCUUGUCAAAUCCCAAUAACACGUCUUUCAAAUUCAUCUAAGAGAUUACUGUUUAUAUCUUUACCUACCACAAAGAGAAUCUUAUAUUGUGAUCUAAUAGCAGAACAUCAUACUUUAUUUUUGUCAUUACGAAUCAAAACCUCGAUCGUCCCAAGAAUUUCAAAACCAAAAACAUUGUUGUGAAAUGAAGAUGAUACUGGAUUAAUUCGAUACCACUCUAUUGAAGAAAUAAAAGAUUAUAGCCACAAAUGAAGUAAAGAUCUCAAAGGCACAAGAACAAUGUAAUUUGUAGAGUAAAUGAGGUUUUACUAUAAUAUAAAGAAAGAAUACAUAGACUUGUGACUACAAUAUUUCUAACUUAGCCUAAAUCAUAAUGAAGAUCCAGUUAUAUAUAGGGAAGAAAUAAGGGAUGCCCAAAACCCUAAUAGUAGAGUUAUAGUUAAAGUAGAAUGCAAAAAAAAUAAAAAAACUCGUCAAAGAGCGAAAAAGGGGCCUAGGUUGGAAACACCGCUGCUCGAGUGGGUAGCUAGCGAUAGGCUAGAAGUUCCCCGGCCCUCGAGCAGUAGACUAGCACAAUGCGAGCUCCAACUUCUCUACUUUUGGCGCUUGGGCACCCAAAUACGACAAGAAAACCUUUCGUCUCAUAAUUUUAGCCUCUUCCUGUCCAACACAAAUUUCAACUCUUAAUAGGGCUUCUAAAUAAAAUUUCAACUAGAAUUUGUCGAAUAAACUUAAUUAGAAUUCUACUAUAGCAUUCCAAAUAAAGUUUCUCUAAAAGUGUACUUUAAUUAGAAUUCUUAAUUAUCUUUAAUAAAGAAUUUGGGUCCCAUCAAAAUUAUAACAUGCAUGAAUUAAGAAGUAUAGUAAUGUAAUUUUGGGAAGUACAAAAUAUAUCAAUUUUAUAACUAAAAAUUAUAUUAAUUUUAAUAUUAUGAAUUGCCAAAAAAAUAAAGUUUGAUGUAUAUACAGUAUCCUUUGAAGCGAAAGUAUAUUAUGUUAUUUAGACAAAUUAAUCUCUUAUGACUUUGAUUACGGAUAAAAAAACAAACAUAAAAUGUUAGUGUUUCUACAUGGAUAUUCUUAGACAUUUCGAAAGGAAUUAUGGACGAAGUUGACAAAUGAUAUCUCAACACUGUGUAUUGAAACUACACAUGUUUUACCAACCCAUCGUAUUCUAUAAUCAUUAGUUUAUUAGAAUAAUUUCUUGAAGAAUAGCGCUUGAAAGUGUAAUAGGCACAUGAGCCUCCCCAUCACCUCUUUCCUUCACUCAUAUUCGUGCAUUGCAUUUUUGCAGGUGAUGUCUAUGAAUAAUUUUUAGCGUUUUAGAUUAGCAUUCAAUUUACAUUUUCCUUAUAGAAGUCAUAUUUUCAGAUUUGUUAUCACCUUAGUUGUCAUUAACUGAAAAACUCCAUGGAUAGUUAACUUAUAAAAUAAAUACAUCCCUUAAUUGGAUAUUGAUUCAGAAAUAUAAUACCCAUGUGAUAAUUGGAUAUCAGAUUACACCAAGUACCAUGCUUUUGUUUUUAACUAUCAUUCAUAUGAAAACUUUGAUUUCUUGUAUCGAAUACAAAUUUUCUUUACUCAGUAUAUUCUUACCAUAGCUCGAUUUAUGUAUAUGGCCUAUAUUCUUGUGUAAGUAUAAAUACAGUAGAUAAUUCUCUAAAGAUACAAGCAGCUAUUUGGCUCAACUGAGCCGGAAGACUUCCCAAUGGCGUUAAUGCAUGACGAAUGAGCCGGCUCAUUUUUAUAGGUCAGCCUAACAUCUUCCAAGGUAAUCCUCUGGUUGCAUUGACAUAAAAAGUGUCUGAAAUCUCCAAUAAAUUUGUAUCUAUAUUGCUAAUCUGAAGCAUAAAAAUAAUCUCAUUAAUUAUAAGUGGCAGCUAAAUAAGCUGAAAACAAACUGAAAAAAAGCCAUUUAUUUACACCUGCCAUUGAUAGGCUUUUAACACUGCAGGGUUCACCCAUUCCAUAAAGAUCUUUCCAUUCAUUAGACUACAGAUUAGUGCAAACUGAAAAGUGAUCCCCCUGUUAAUGAGCAAUUUGUUUCGAAUAUAAGAAAUUAUCAAUAUGUUCAACUAAUCUUAGAAAAAAGUAAAAGUUACUUUGUGAAUUACUUACUUUUUUAGUAAAAAGGUUUUUAAAUUUUCUAAGUAUCUAAAUGAAAAAUUUGACGUGAUAGUUUGGACAUUUAUCGACUAGAUUGUCACGUCAUUUUUUUCGAUAGUCAAACUAACACACAUGAAAACUCGAUUGGAAUAAUGUUUAAUGUCAGUGACUAAAUAGUGUUAAAUGUCCAUGAUCAUGAAAGUGAUAUAGUAUCAAGAGCGUGUUAGAACUUUUAAAAAGUUAUAAGUAAUAAGAAAGUUUUAAGAUAGGCAAGUUUUGAAAAGAAGUAAGAAACAAAUUCCAAAACAAGUAAUGUUAAAACCUUGGAAAAUGGCUCUCCAUCAACUAUAAGAUCCAUCAAUUGGACGGCUGUGAUGGCCCCUGUUACCAUGCCGAUCCCGAUUCCAUGCAGUAGACCGGUUUCUGUAGUCUUCACCCUCACCCCAUUUUAAGUUCCUGUAAAUGUAGCUGAUUUAACUGUCACAUUUUGCACUCCGGGGUCUUGCAAAUCCCAGCCUAGACUCCCAAUGCUGGGGAAAAGGAGCACAAAUUAGUUAACUCAGCUUAAUAAAUUGUUGGGAUACAUUAUGUCAUACUUCCUCUAUUACAAAAAAUAGAAUUGCUUUCCUUUUUCGUCUGUCUCAAAAUAUUGGUCACUUUCCUUGUUGAUAUUAUAAUUAAUUUCUUAGUUUUCUAAUAUACUCCUAUUUGACGUGUUAUCUUAUGAAAAAAUAUGAAUUAUUCUUAUUUAAACCAUUAUUUAAUGUAGAAAUAUGUUAGGAAAAAAUAUAAGAAAAAUUUAUAUUUUCAACUAUUUUACUUACAUGUUUCUUAAUUCAUGUGAAAAUAUAAAUAUGUUUAUCUUUGUGGGACGUAAGGAGUACGAUUACAUCUAUUUUAAUGAAGAUUGUGUAAUUGAAAAUGAAUACUGUAGAAAAAUUAUGUGGUAAAAUGGUUGACAAACAAAAGCUAUAUCUAUUGUGGCUGUCAAUUUUUAAUUUACGUUUUUAGUACCUGAUUCCAUGGCCAGGGCCGCAUGCAAUGGUCUCAAUCCACAAGUUCGAGGUGCCGAGGCCUAUAGAGACACAAUCAUCUAGGGUGACAAUCCGAGAGUUCAUAAUUGUGACUCCUGUUGAUUUCUCCACGUGAAUUCCGUCAGUGUUUGGGCUGUUGCCUGGUGCAGAAACCUUUAUUCCCACUAGCUUGGUAUUGUGGCAUCCAUCAACAAGAAUGUUGAACUUCUGGCUAUUUAUUGAAGACAAUCAAUUCAUUAUGAUGUUGUUGGAAUUGUAGAAGGCCAGUGUCUGAGCAAGAAAGAAUCGAAAAAUUACGUUUGAAUGUACAAGAUGAUAUAAAGUAAAAUCCACUUUCUUCUUUAUUAACAUACCGUUGCUCCGGUUGGACAACUCUUGCCGGAAUUUUUGCUAGCCCACAAAUUAGUCCCUUGGCCAUCUGGGGUUCCACCAAUAACAGAAACUCCAGUCACACUUUCGAACUUGAUCCAGUUACCAGAAUUUCCAAUAACUUUAAAAUCAGAUGGAGCUACUAGUGUCCUAUCAAUUUGAAUCGUUAUAGCAGUGUUUUUCCAUGACUUGCCAACAAAAGUUGUAGCUCCAAGCAUCUUCCCGGUGGCACGUAAAUGGUGGCCGGCUGUGUAGUAGCACAUGCUGAGGUCCAUGCACUCAAGAAUGCCUUGGUACAAUCAGUUUUUCCACCAGAUUUUGCUCCCAAACUUUGGACAGUGGCGGAUACAGACAUUUUACAUUAGGCGGUCACAAUCAAAUUUUAAAAAAAAAGCGACGAAAUUUUUUUUAUUACUUUAUAUGGGUUAUAAACUGUACUUUUUUAUCUAGAUUAUUUUUAUAUAAAAAAAAUUUUGAUCAUUUUUAGGAUUUUUUUUUUAUUAUUGUUACUUUUUCCUCUCAAUCUAUUAAUUUUUUUUUUAAAAAAAUAAUCUAAUAAAUUUCCUAAUAAAAAUUUUGACGUCAUUUGAAAAAAAAUAAUUGAUCGAGGAAAAUGUAACAAUAAUAAAAAAAAAUCCUAAAAAUGAUUUAAUUUUUUUCAGAUAUAAAAAUAAUUAAGAUGAAAAAGUAAUAUAACAAUUUAUAACACCUAUGAAGUAAUAAAAAUUUUAUUAAAAAUUUUUACGUCCAAAAAUAAAUAAAAUUUGACGUCAUACCACAUAAAAAAUUUCCUAAUAAAAUGAUGUAAACUAUAUUGAGAAAUUUUUCACGCAAAAAUAAUAAACAUUAAUAAAAUAAUUGAUUUUUUUUUCAAAAAAAAACAAGUUAUACGUCUUUUUUUAGUAUACACGUUUGACGUACGUUUAACUAUUCUCGAUAUUCAUUUAGAUCAUUCGAUGUGUUUAUAAUAUAAUUCUCGAAAUGAGCUUCAAGAGGAUAUAGAAGAUUUAUAGAUAUGACUAGCGUAUAAACGUCGAAAAUUUUUUAAAGUUAGCUUGUUAUCAAAUUUCUGGAAAUAUUAGUUUGAAACUGCCUAUUUUGACGCAUCAUAACAUUUGCUACGAUUGGCCAUUUCGCACAACAUUAACGACAUAAAAAUACUAGCUUGUGAGUACUUCAAAAUGAUAUUAAGAAUAUAAUAUUUCAAUUUCGUUUGAUAUUUCAUUGUGAGCCCGAAAACUAAGAUGACGACGAAAAAAAAAUGGAAAUUGGAGGGUCAAGUGACCCUUGGGUCUGCCCCUGACUUUGGACAUUGUAAUUAGCAUUGGCUGCAAUUGAUGAGUAGUGGAAGAAGGUCCACAGGAAAUAUUGGAAAGCAAGGAAAAAUCUUAAAGCUCCAGCCUUUUUUUUUUUUUUUCGUCGUUUGUAUUUGUGUGUUAUAGAGAGAGAGAGAGAGAAAGAGUGGAUGAGGAGAUGAAGCAGUUAUAAGAGGUAUUUAUAGGCUAUAAGUUGAGUGCAAAUUUGGCCGAAGUUGGAUUUUUGGAGAUUAGAGAAAAUUUGUUUGGACAAAUAAGAAUUUCAAGUUAUUUAGUGCAAUAAGAAAAUAUAUAUUUUUUAGUAAAAAAUUACAUGAUCCAUCUAGAAUAGUUUAGUUUAUUUAUUAAUUUGUUUAGGAGUCAUCACCCAUAUCCCUGAAUUUAUUGUUGGUUAUUUUGAUUGUUUGAGCUAAGUAACCAUUGUUUCAUUUAUUUAAUUUGUGAAAUUUGAUUUUUCAAAAAUAUGAUAUCGUGUAACACUCAAACCAACAUAGACCCUAGGGAAAGCACGAUGAAUAAGAUUAUCAAACCGUCACACACAGUGCCUUUUACAGUCAACAGAAAAAUUUGGGGAGUACCUUUUUACUUUUCUUCUCUAGGGUUUUUGUGCUUAUUUAUGCAAAUAUGACAUUAAAGAAAAUGUCAAUUUUAAGUUUGGGGGUAAAAUAACUUUUAGUUCUUGUUUUUCAUAUGUUUUUGUAUGUUUGUUUAAAUAUAAAAAAAGAAAAAUUUAAAGAAUUUUUUUUUUAAAAUCUCUUUUGUUUAGUAGUGUGCUUGUGUGGGUUAGACAAUCUGGCAGACAAUGAUGAUUUAAUUUGAGAUUUGGUGUUAAUUUAUGAACUUGUGAAUAGGAUGCAUGCUAGACUAAUUAAAGCUCAAUCAUGCAAAACUUGAUAUUACAAGCGUAAUAGAAUUGAAUUUGACAUUGUGAUUAAAUGAGUGGUUUAUUGCUUUUGAUAGGUUGGUCUAGUUGGACAUAGAUAUUUUACCUAAACCAUAUUAAACUAUCUACCCUUAGACCAAAUUUAGCUCAGUUUGAGGGUGAUUUUACUGUUGUAGGAAGAUGCGGUUGUGAAUGUGAAUUCCAUCUGUGAAAACUUAUGUAUGGAUUGUCUUACACUAACAUGAUAAAACUCUGCGAAAGUCUUAAGUUUGAGGUCGAUUUGUAUGAAUAAGUGUGUAAUAAGGGGCAUUGCAUUAAUCAAGACAUAUACAUUUGAAAAUUUUGAACUUCUCUCUGAAGCUUUUAUGACUUGAGUGAUUAAGUCUGCAAGUGUAUCUUAAAAUCUGGUGCUCUAAAGUCGUCUAAUUUGGGAGUCAUCGACCUAAAGCUUGCUACAGGGGUCAUUUAGAAAUCUUAAUGGAGAUGAAGUUGCACUUGUAAAAAAAAUAAAUAAAUAAAUAAAUCUCUUCGACGCCUUUUUUACUCAGGUCAAUAAGCCUGUACGGGUGUUUAAAACUUGGUGCCCUAAAAUCAUCUGAUUUGGGAGUUAUCGGCCUAAAGUCUGCUAUAGGGUCAUCUAGAAAGUUUAAUGGAGAGAAUGUAAAAAAUCAAAAAUAAAAAUAAAAUAACUUGUGAAAAACCAAAAAAAGAGCUUGUGCAUGAAAAGAGUAAAGCACUAAAUACCUUGGUUAAGCCCCUAACACUUAUUUAAGGAAAUUUGACCUUCGAUGAAGGAUAUUAGCCUAGUUGAGUUUUGGAGGUCGAACCAAUCAAAUAAUUGGAGAAUCCUUGUUCAUUGAAGUAUUGACUUGCAACUCUUAACAUCCACCUGAACUUGAGAGGGUGAGGAAAGUAAUGAAAUAUUAAACCUUAAGUUACACACUGAAAAGAGUGAAAAAAAUAAGUUUGGGGAUGUGUGAAUCUUACGAGUGAUGAAAGGACAUAUAUGAUCAUUAAGGGUUUGGAAUUGGAAUAACUUGUGAAUUCAUUAAUGUCUACUUAAUUCUUCACACACAGGUCGAUUUUGCACUGGAAGAGUGGACAUUGGUUUUGUAUCGUGACUUUGAAGCAUGUUUAUGGAAUUAACACUUAGAUCUUGAAUCUUGAGGUGAGAAACUCAAUUUUCCAACCAAAUAUUUUUCCAUAACUGUGUGUUUACUGCUAUUUAGUUUAUAGUUUUGUUUGAGGACAAACAAAUAUUUAAGUUUGGGGGAUUUGAUAAGUGUAUUUUUUACACUUAUUCGGUACCUUAAAUCGACAUUAAGUUUUUGGCACUGUUGCCAGGGAUAGGAGCCAAAGAUAAUUUAUUCUUUGAUGGUCCCCCUCCUCCCUCGAUCAUACGAUAGGUUGAUAUUCCUGGCGAAUCCGGUUUCGUUUAAUCAGAUUCUCCUCUCCUUUGGUUCUAUCUUUGAUAAAUGUAUUUUUUACACUUGUUUGAUAACUUAAAUAGUGAUAUUUGAUAGUUCGUUUGACAAAUUAUAUUUUAAAUUUUUAAAUUUUAUGUUUAAUAGGUGAAAUUUUAUGAAUGAAAAGGAAUUGAAGGAAAGAAGCAAAAAUGGGCGAAAAAUGACAAAAUCCAAAGUAGGGUUACUGAAUUGGCAACUGGAUGAAUCGAAGGAGUCAUUGGUUGCAUAAUUAAUUGGGAAAGGAGUGAAUUGGAUGACUUUAAAAUAAUUGAGGACUUGGAGAGAAAUAAGAUAUAAAUGGGCCUAAACUUGAAUUUACUCAGGCUGCACUUCAAGCGCAAUCGAAAUACAUAUGGAACUUUAACAAUUCAACAAUAGAUGGCAGAUUUGGACUUCUGGACCAUGAAGACACGCAUAAAUUAAAGUCCCCCUUGGAGUUAAUCAGUGGCUGCUAGGUUAUAUUUAUAUAGAGACAGACAAGAACGAGAAAGGAGGAGGAGACACGCACGGAAAUUGAGAGGUAGCAUAUUUUAUAUUUUUCACACUUUGAGGCUGCCUAUAUUUCCACGCACAGAAAACGGAGGGCCAGCCAAUAUUAUAGAAUUUAGCCACGUAUUUGAGGGCUGACUUAGUAUUGAAAUUAAUUUGUGGCAGCCAAUAUUAUAAAAUAUUAUAGAAUUUAGCCACAUAUUUGAGGGCUGACUUACUAUUGAAACUAAUUUGUGGCAGCCAAUAUUAUAGAAUUUAACCACAUAUUUGAGGGCUGACUUACUAGUUACUAUUGAAAUUAAUCUGUGGCGGCUGAAGGAAAGAAGUUGUUGGCUGCCAUUAAUAUAGAGAUAGAAGCUGUCGAGUGCAACGAUAAUACACGGAAAUUGAGGCAGAUUUUUGGAGAGAUACAUUAAAAAAGGGCAGCAGCUGGGGAAAGGAUUUACACAAAAGCAGCAAAGACGACAUAAGGCAUAAUUGGAAAUUAUUUACGUUCUAUCAACUUCCGAUGAUGUCUUCCAUAAUUUUUUUUUUUCCAUUAAUAUGAGCAGUUAAAUUUUAUUUUAGGAUGAACAAUGUAACUGACUUGGGAAUCCUUUUUUUUUUUUUUUUUUAGUUUUUUUUUUUUUUUUUUUUUAAAAAUUUUUUUUUUUUUUAGUUUUUUUUUUUUUUUUUUUCUUUUUUUUUUUUUUUUUUAGAUUUUUGUUCUUUUAUAUUUUAUGUGUGGAUUUUAAAUAUGUUAUCAAUACUUUGAAUUUUUUGGCCAAUUAUUCGAUGAUUUCGUGAACAAUAAUUAUGUAGAGAUGCAGAUUCUUGUUUAGACCACAUAUUAAAAUCUAAUCAAUUAAUAUAACGUAUAGAGAUAUUUAUAUUAAUUACUGUGGUCCUAUAGACAUUCUUAAAACUAUUAUUUCGCUUAAAUAAUGUUGAUUUGCAUAGAGAUAUGAAAUUGAAUGAUGUAGAUAGGCUCAAUGAGGACUCGAGAUGGAUAAAUUACCAUAGAACAAUUUGAUCAAACGCUACUUUAAUUUUAUGAAUCUCGAUAUUAGAAGUAAAGGUGACCAAUGGGUGAAUUUGUUCCACCCUAAUCUCCAUUUACUAAUUGAAUUCUCAUUCAUUUUCUAUUGCAUUCACGAAAUUUUUAGUAGUUAGAUUUAAAAAUCACAUUCAAUCAUUUUUUUUUUAUCAAAUAGAAGUUAUGAAUAAUAAAUUGAGUACUAAAGUAUAUUCCUCUUAGGAACAAUAAUCCGGACUCAAAAGGUCAACUUUACUAGUUACGAUCCGUCCACUUGCGGGAUAAAAUUGAUAAUAAGUUUUUGAUGCCGUUGCCAGGGAUAGGAGCCAAGGAUAAUUUAUUCUUUGAUGGUUCCCCCUCCUCCCUCGAUCGUACGAUAGGUCAAUAUUCCUGGCGCAUCUGGUUUCAUUUAAUCAGAUUCUCCUCUCCUUUGGUUCUGUCUUCCACCAUCUUUCCGGCUUGACUAAUGUUGUCUAGACCAAAUAAGUUUGACAUUUUAAGAUGGAACCUCGAUAUUUAGAAGUUGUUGAGAUAUUGCUGAAGAUCAGUUCAUUAAAUAUGUUAACAUGGAAAAGGUGUAAAGAUUUGCCAUAUUAUCCCUUUUUAUGUAAGACUGUUGAAGAUCGAACAUAGUGCAGUGGGACAUGGUUUUACAUAUCGUAAAAAUAUGAAAGUUAUGUCCAGUGACCUAAAACUAUGAUGAUAAUUAUGCAUAUAUUUAUCAAUUACAGAAACCACACUUAAUAGAAAAACAAAAUUUUCUUUUAUAUCCAAUUUCAGUAGCGAUAGGGUCAUAAUCAAUGUAAAAUACAUCUUCAUCCUAAUACACAUUUUCUUGAGGAUUUCACUCUAAUGGCGCAUUUCAUCUGAUCAGGAAUGUAUCGAAAAUUUAACAAGUUAACAUUUAUUAACUUGGACAUUAGUACAUAUUGUUUUAAAGGAAUGCAGAGGAAAAAGUUCUCACUGAAUUUAUAAAAAUAAAAAAAAUAAAAAUUAAUUAAUUUAUUGUUCAUUUAUUGACGUUUUAAUCGGAAUUGAAAAAUGAUGGAUCUAAUAGAGUGAAAUUUCAACUACUGAUGAAACAGAUAACAAAAUAGGUUGAAAAUAAAGAAGACUAAGAGUAUUUGUAAAAUAAAUUAGUGAAUUAGGCAACUUUUCUCGUCGGAAAUUAAUCUUCAAUUUGAACUAUGUACAGAAAGAAUGGCAUGUGGAUCGUGCAAUUAAUUACCAUCUUAAUUUUAUCUCUAUUCAUCAUUAGUUCGUUGGCUAUUGUUGGGGGGUCAAAUUUUAGGCAAUAAAAUUUCGUCCAAAAUGUGGUGUGUAACGUGUGGUUAAUUGCAUUUAUUUUUCAUCCAAAUUCCUACUUUGAGUGUUUGAUUGCAAUUUUUUUUAUUGAAAAUAUUUUUCGACUUUUGAAAAUAUGUCUAAUAUUUCUUGUUUUUAAGAAAAUAUUUUCUUUGGAGUAAGUAGGUUUUUGUUUUUCUCAAAAUAGGGAAAACAUUUUUUUUUCUAGGCAAUAUUUUUCAUGUCAAUUAAAUUACACUCAAAUUUCUUUAUGUAAUAAAGGAAAGCAAAAAAUUAUGAAAGGAACAUAAUUUAUAAAUGAACCCACGAAGCACGCGAAAAUACUUCCCAACUUUUAUAUUCGCAAUAAUAGAACAAUCACAAACUUGACAACGGAUCAAAAAAAAUGCACUCUAUGCUUUUGUGUCUCAUGUCAUGAGUAUAUAUAAAAUUCGUUGGCCUGUUGAGGUACAUUUCGCGAUUUACCUCCCUCACGAUACUCUAGGAACGAGACGGUGGGGACUCUCAAAAUUGGGGUUCAACCUUUUAAGAAUCCAAAGUUUUCCAUCCCGAAAACUGUCACGGCCAAAUAGGUAACCAACUUUCCUGUAGAAAUUGCUUUGCACGCGUUAAUUGCUUGAAGUAUAACUGCUGAAAGUAACCGCCUCAGCGAACUUAGUCCAGCUAACUCCAAAGUUAUCUGCAAGCCAUUGUUAUAAAAAUCGAACCAGAACAGUCGAUUCAACCCAAAAAUCGAUGAACCGAACAAUGAUCCGCGGUCCGAUUGACAAUAAUUGGUGCAAUUACAAAUGAACUGGUCAAGAACUCCUCAAACCGGUUCAUUACUGCCUUCAGCGAUUUUCAUUGAAAACGGAAACCGAUUCGUAUUGAACCGAUUUUUUUAUUAUUAUUAUUAUCAAAUUAGUCAAAACUUUAGAGCAAAAGGAGAUAUUCGAACCUCUAUUUCCUUGCGUAAAAAGUUGGAACCAUGACCAUUAUGGCACCUAUAAAGUAUUACCGUGAGUGAAAAAUAUAUAAUUGCUUUUAGCACAGCAACAAAAAAUAAAAUUUAUAAUAUAUUUUUGCUUUAAAAAAUUAAAAUAAGAUCAACAAUGACCCACUAGUUAACCACUAAUCCAGUUAUUCGAUAAUUUUUUUGAUCAAGGACCAGGUCAGGUUUGCUAACUAUGCCACAAGCUGAUUUCCAGGUCUGAAUACAACGAAUCUGCUAGGCUGUGUUCAGCCGAAGGCCAACCCCGCUAACUGCCUUACACUUCGGGCUCCACCCAUGCCAUGCUUCAUCCAUGCAUUAUCAAUCCAAUCAUUCCUGAAUGAUUAUCGACAAUAAUACCUUACAUAGAAUAUUCCUAGAAAUGUACUUUAUCCAAAAUAUCCCGAGUAUGGCAUCAACAUGGGAGCAAGGCACCACUCAUGCCUUAGCCGUUUCAGCACUUGUGACCAUCAAGGAAGUGACAACUAUCCAUUCCUAUAUAUUUCUCGUACCCUGUAUGUUUAAAUCUAAUUAAUUCUGUAAUUUUGAUGUAUUUUAAAAAGAAUUUACUAAGGACACCAAUUAUAAUUUGUGUUGAUUAAAGCACCAAAGCUUGGUCUAUAUUUUUAUGCCUCAAUCGAAAGUCAACGUAGUCCCCUAUCAUGUCAAUAGAUGAUAUUUCGGACUACGAGGAAGAAAGCCUUACCUUAGAACUUACAUCGAGAUGGAGAUGAAGAAUUAGGAGGUAAUUCUUUCCUUACAAAAUAUAUAUAAUAUUCAGUAUUUUGGUCAAUUUAAUUUAUUUUUGAAACUCUACUAAAUUGAUAAGCAAGAAAUUUGAGUUGUAAUUAUUAUUCUUGAACAAAUGUAAAUUUGUUCAAUAUCUUAACUAAUACAAGCAAGCCAACAGAUCUUUUGGAACAAGCAACUUAAUUUGUAUGCGAACAAACUGGCCAAUGAUUUAGCCACAUUAGAAUUUCUCGUAACUUGUCGCCAUACUUUACAUUUGUAACGAUGAUGCAAAUAGUAACAUGCACAAUAUCAUUUUUCCAUUAAAAAAAUUGUAUUCAGUACAUGAUUUGUGUAUUAAUGAAAUUCAUUUUUUAUCAGAAGUUUGAUAUAUAACACAAUGAAUAAUGGCGAGAUGAUUUAAAUUCAAACUUUUACCUUUUAUUAUAUUUAUUUAUUUAUUUAUGAAGUGCUAUGAUGAAAAACUCUCUAUAAUAUUGACUAUGUCAACCUUUAUAUCUUGUUAGUUGCGACACCCCACUCUAACACAAAUAUGAACUAAUAAUUAUUUCACUUUUGUAAAUGUGUACACAGUGUCCAUAAAAAAAUCUUCUUCAGAAUUUAAUAUCAAAUAAAAGAAAAUAUAUAAAGAUAGAUUUUCAGCUAUUAAAAUUUUUUGAUAAACCAAAAUUUUAGGCAAUCAACACUGUGUAUCACUUUUCUAAGCAACUUUACAUCAUCCACUCUCGGUGUCAGUCUCAAAAUCUUUGGGACUUUAGGACUUUAGGCCAACUUCAAAUAUAAGGCCCUUAUAUAUAUUUCAAAUAUAUAAUUAUAAACAAUAACACUUUUCAUUAAUAAAAAUAUUCAAAGUUACAAAAAUAAUGACCUAAAACUUUCAAACGUCUAAAUUAAAUUCACUUUUUUAGAAUUUUUUGAUGUGAUUACAGUCAAUAUGUUAUAAAAUUUCUUUUUCAAUAGACAUUAUAUCCAAUCCAGUCAAACUUUUUUUGUAACAUUGUAGAACAAUUGUAAGCUUUUAUCAACUCCAACAUUAAGAAGUUCCUCUCAGAAGAUGCAACUGCAACUGUAACUAUAACUGUAACUGUAACUGUAACUGUAACUGUAACUGAUAUAGUUAAUAAUAUGAUCUAUCAAUCCACACAUCUUGAGUUAUCAUCGGAGUACAAAUUUCAAAUAAAGAAUAUAUGAAAAAAAAUUGCAAAAUAUACUUGUUGAAAAAACUAAGAUAGAAGGAUGAUUCAUAAAUAUUAUUUUGUUAAAAAAUAGGGGGGGAAAGAAGGUAAAGAAAUCAAUAAACUUGUAUCAUUGAGAACUAAAACUCCAUAUUUAUAUAGAAGAAUUAGGACUACAAUGAAUAAUAGUCAUAAUAACUAGUGUUGCGAGGGUAUAAUGGUUAGUCAUUAAUAAAUAUAUAAUUUACAAUAUUCUCCUUUGGAUGACACAUUACAAAGUAUCUACCUCAUCAAAAAUAUUGUCAAUAAAACUCAAUAGGACAAAAUUUGAGCUCAAGAAAAGAGUACAAUUGCUCUCUUAAUUUCAAUAAAUGAAGAUUUUUGUAUCGAGUCAUUCAUGUUUAUAUGUCAAUAUAUUUAAUAUUGCAAUUCUGGUGAAACAUGUUUUUAUUGUCUUGUUAUAACUUUCAAGCAAUAUCUUCUUCAUAGAUGAUAUUUAUCAAUCUUUGUUUGUCUUUAGUCACACGAUAAUAUAUUGAAAAACAGAUUGUGUUGUUACUCUCUUCAAAAGUCAUAGACAAUUUGUAACAUAUAAGAGUAUAAUUUGAGGGUAUAUAUCAUGUAGGUUAUGAACAUCAUUACACAAGAAUAUGCCUCGUUAAAAACCUUAUUAGGAGAAGUCCUGUAGGAAAAAUCUUAAUAAGGAAAAAAGUGUGCAUUAUGCUUUUGAGUACAUUACAAAAGUUGUCUAUUUAAAAACCUUGUCAAAAAAUCGAUGGGAAAAAUCUUGAUCAAGGGAAAAAGAUUACAAUAUAUAUUUUCUCUCAUCAUGAUAAAACCACUUAAAUUAUAUGCUUCAGGUAAAUUUAAUAAUUCAAACAUAAAUUAAUUGUCAUGUCAGAUGAAUUAACUAUAAUUGCAUUUCAAAUUUCGUGCAUCGUCAGGGUGACAAGAUAUGGACUUAUAAUUGUAUCCACCAUUAUUUUGUAAGCUUUAUUAUGUUAAGAAUCAUACAUUAUAUGCUAUGACUUCAUUUUUCUGAUUUACCUUUUAGGUUUAGAUACUUCAAGUUUCUCUAACAAAUUUAAUUUGAUUAGGAUUAUGUCUUUUUAUUUAGCCAAUAAUUUUUUCGAUAGAUAUACUUUAAUAAAUUUAUUUCGAUAUCCUCGCUAUCAAUAAUAUGAAGCGAUACAUUACGUUAAAAUAUAUUGUCGACAAAUUUUUAUUUUAGAUUAUAUUUCUUUCUCAUAAUGACAUGCAUUAUUGAAAUAUCUCAAUUUUUAGCAUUUCAGGUACCUGAACCUCUUUUAGAGUUUUACAUUUUAUUUCAUAUCUAUAUACUCCUCCAAGAAUAUAUGUCUCCUUGAUGAACUAUCUAUGUUAAUUUCUCUAUUUUCUUUUUAAAAUUUUUAUAUCAGAAUCGAAUGUAAUGCUUUAUGCGUGUCAUAUAUACUUAUCAAAUAUAACAUUAAUUAAGUGUCCUUCAAUGACGUGAAUUUUGAGUUGGAGUAUUUAAAACUGGUAUGUGAGAUAUAUUUGACUCUUUGAUUAGUAAAUGUAUUUAAAUGAGAAAUCUUUUCGAAUUUUUUUUUUUAGGAUCCAGAUAAUAUAAUAAAGCAUAUAUACAUUAUUUUUAACCUCUUAAUUCAUCCUAAUAUUGAGAGAAUUGUUUAGUCAAACUGACAAUCAAUAGACAGUGUUAUAAAAUAUCACCCGCUAAAGUAUAAGAAAAUUCAUAAGGGUUCAAAAUACGUAUUUAUUUUCAGCAUUCUUUACCAUGCAUUGUGGUGGAUUAAUUGUACUUUGUACUAUAAAAAUAAUUUGUUGAAAAUACUACUUUCUGAUUUGAUCAUAAGUCAAAAUAGUGAGAAAAACUUUGGUGUUGGUACGAUGCUAAUAACAUUCUCUAAACAGAAGCGGGAAGUACUUUGUUCUCAUAGUAAUGAUUAAGAAAUAAAUUAGAGGGAUAACAAGCAAUAUUGCUAAACCAUAUUUAUCGACAUCACAGGUAAUAUUUAUUAAAAGAUUGAGAUUUAAGCUCACUAGUAUUAAUAAAACACAUUUUCUUUAUUGUAUAAUAUAAAAAUUAUACUCAUAAUUUAAAACUUGAACAGCAAUUUUGUAAACUUUAAGUUGCAAGCAUAGUGCAAUCAUUUAGUAUGUGUAUUAUAUUUAUUAAGUAUAAAUAAUAUUUAGAUGAUUAACAUGGAUAGUAACAACUCCCGUAUAACACCAUAAUUAAUUUUCUAGAUUAUAAGGAUUUAUACUAAAAUGUUUAAACCCUAACCUUAAGGGUCCCCCACCACCUCUGCCCUGGAGUAUCGUGAGGGAGGUAAAUCGCAGGUUAUGCCUCCAAGGGUAAAGGGUGGAAGGCUGCUUGUAUACUUGCACUUACCCAAGAGCCAAAUCCAUAUUUCAGGAUUCGAACCCUUGACGCAGCAGCCUCAAACAAAGCUGGAUUUCUCCACCCUUCCUUUUUACCACUUGGAGAUGUGCCCUGGGGGCAUAAGGAUUUAAUACUAACAUUAGGUUGUGAUGGUCAAUGACCAAUUUAUGAUAUAGAGAAUAAGCAUUAUAUGUAAAUUCGUUUGAUUAAGAAGCACCUUAUUCUCAUUAUAUAUUCAUUUGAAUUCUCAUUUUGUAUCAUUAUUGAUUCAGUAACGAUCUAACUAGAAACACUAACAAUAAAAUAUUAGGGUUAUUGAACUCAUGAUUCGAUAUAUUGUUUAUUUUAAUUGUAAUAAUAAAGCAUAGUAUAUUGUUGUGGUAAAAAUUAAUUUACUAGUCAAAGCGGCCCAAACCAUAAAAUAGUCCACAGGCAGUCCAGUUGCUCCAUCCUCGACCCAAGUUAUUAUAAGCUGAAGUGAAAAGCAUUAGAGGUAGUAGAUCAAAAUAAGGAAAUGACCUUAAGGAAAGAAGGAUGCCAUAUAGGAGGAAUGCAGCAGCUUACCGCCCUCAAUCCCUGGUGCUCGGCCAGGUUGUCUCUGAACCUAUGACAGCUUCCCCCGAUCCCAACAAUCUGGGCCAAGACCCACAUGUUAGUUCGAAAUCUCCAAUAAUUUAUCUUCAAGAUAAAUCACGUUAUGACUUAUCUAAAUCUGGUAAGAGUUAUUUGCAAAUGGCUCUAAUAUCUCAAUUGAACAGAUCGGAUUAGAUUUAGCUUCAACCAACUAUGAAAUCUUAGAGAAUCCCCUCCAAUCCCGCUUAAACGGUUAUCCCACUCCUAUAAAUUUUGCGGUCGAUCAAGCAUUCAGGUAUUUCAAUCCACUCUACUCUAAUUCACUUCUUCUUUCUUUCCAUAUGUCAUUUAUUCAAUUUUUGACAAGAUUUACUAACUUGACCGUCAGAGGGUUUUCGGCCGACACCACACCUGUGUCCUCUUAAGAUCUUUUUAUGGUCAUUUUCCUUCAUUCUAUUUUUCUUGAGUUCUGCAGGAUUGUUGGUGGCCUACUUGAUCUAAUUUCUUGGUUGUAGAAUCUUCCAUCUACAUGUACUAAUUAAGAAAUACUGUUAGAAACUUUGUAGGUUUCUCUUUAUUUAGUUGAGAAUAAAUUACUAUCAACAAUAGGUUCGUACCUCUGCAUCACAUAAUAUCAACUCUUAUGAAGAUUUUAUAAAAUUCUCAUAAAGCAAAAAAUCAAAUCUUCAUUUGAUAUUCUUCAAAAACAACAAAAUAAUGUUAUUUUUGAAUAUUUAUGUAGUUAGGUUUUGUUUAUUUACGAAUAUUUUAUCAGAAUAAUUUAACGUUGUGCUUCUUUGGGAGCAAUAACAAUUUAAGUAUAUCGACUAAAUGUGUAUAAAUAAUAUGUGAUCAACUACAACAUGCAAAAUUGGAUACAAAUAUUGAAUAUGAAAAAUAUAAUGAUUAUAAUAUAUACAUAGCAAUCAAUUAAAGAAAACGUGUCAGUUUAUCAAUUGGAAUUGAUAGGUGGAUGCGUGCACUAGAAUAAUUAUUUAAUGUAAUCAUGCAAUUUGUGUAAUUGAAACAAUAUGCAAUUCUUAUAUAAACAACCAAUUUAAAAGAAUUUGGUUGUUGUUCACGAACAGUUUGUCACGAAUGGACCAUUGUAUUUUAAUCAUAAUCAUUGAAUUUAAGAACAAUGGAUUAUGAACAUUUUAUCCAAAUUUCACGAUGAUUGGACCAUGAAAUGUUAAGAUAUCAAAAUUUUGAUCAUAGAUAUUUAGAAUGUCCACAUUCUGCGAAUUUAUGGACAAUUGAUUUUGAAAUAAUAAUAUAAUUCUUCCAUAGUAUAAGAGUCAUAUUUUUUCAUGAGUAUGAAUCUAAUAUUCUUUUAGAGUAUUGAUUCAUACUUUUAUCUAGGAAGCAGCAACAAAAUAUCUUUUUAGAAGUUUUACAGAACUAUUCUUGAAUUUAACACAUACAAAUAUUAUACUUUACCAAGAAUAACUAUAAAAAAUUAUUUUUGAGCAUUGUUAUUGUGUAAAUUUGUGUUUCUUAAGGAGUCAAAAAAAAAAUCAAAUAAAACAUUCCUUUUCAAAUAUGCUAAAAUAUUUUUCUGAAAUAUUGAUCUAGAUUGUUUCUUCUUCAAGAAUAAUUAUAUAAUAUUCUUCUAAAAUAUUGUAUCAAAAUAUUGAAAAAACAUAUAUUUAACAAAUAAUUAUCUGUCACAAAUUGAUAUUGUCAAAAUAAUAUAACCAAAUCCAAUAACUAUACCAUUUUGUUAUGCAAUUCAAAGUUACGUGAAUAGUAACAUUUUUUAAGCUAGAAAAGAAGAGUUUCUUUGUAAUUGUAGUAGUCUAGAAUUACUUGACUUUCUUUGAUUGAAGGAAAAAUUAUUUUUUUCCUACCUUAACUAACUAGAGAUUUGUGAGUAGAAUGAGGAAUAAAUUUUACCAAUUCGAUUGGCUAGACCUUUACGCUGAUAAAGCAUUAUAAAAUAAAGAGAAAAAAAUAAAGAAAUCAAUACACUAUGUAUUUCAUUGAGAACCGAAAUCCCAUAUUCAUAAGAAAAAAUUAGGAUUGCAAGUGAUACAAUAGUCAUGAUAAUUAGGAUUUGAGGAGUAUAGUAAUCAUUCAAUAAUAAACAUAUAAUUUACAAUCUAUAAAAUAUAAUAUAUUAAAAUAUCGCAUCAAGUGAGAAUCAUUUUUGGACGAUUUUAACCUUAUUACAAUUCAAUUAUUUCAAUAAUACUUUACGUUUUCAAAUAUGUAAUAAAUACUAUGCUAUUAAUUCUCAAUUAUUUAACAUUUGCAUUAAUUUAAACUCAAUGAUCUUCACUUGAUAAAUCUUAAUUUAUGUGAGUCUAGAGUAUUGUAGAUGAAUUUUAUUUCUAUUCAUGCAUCUAAGUAUUUUAAUGGGUGUUUAAACUCAUGGAUUAACAAUUAAUUCUUAUGUGGCAAUUGUAGUUUAAAAAUGUUGCUCAUUUGUAAUAUUUAAUCAUCACAAAAAUUCGAAUUAUAGAAGUUGAAUUUCGAGAAUAAAAUUUUUGUCUUUUAAAUUUCUAUUCUAAAUUUUAUUUUCUUUAAUUCAUUUGAGACUCAUCAAAUUCUCUCAAUAAAUUGGUAUCAAAUAUUAAUUUUUUAACACUUAUAAAGUAUUUUAAAAAAAACAUGCAAUACAUGUUCAAGUCUAACUGGUAUAUAAAAUAUAACAUCAAAUGAGAAUCAUUGUCCAAAAAAUUUUGACCGUACUAUAAUUCAAUUAUUUCAAUAAUACCUUACUUUUAAUUUUUCAAUACGUAAUAAGUUUCAAUAAUACCUUACUUUUUGUUUUUCAAUACGUAAUAAAUACUACAAAAUUCUUAUUAUUUUAUGAAUUUUGUGCUAUUAAUUUUCAAUUAAUUAACCUUCAUGUUAAUCUAGACCCAAUAAAUCUUAAUCUAUAUGAAUCUAGAGAUAUUAUAGAUGAAUUAAUUUCUAUUCAUGGAUUUAGAAAUUUCAAUGGGUGUUUAAAUUCAUUUAUCAGAAAUUAAUUCUUAUAUAAGAAAUAUAGUAUAAAAAGUUUGCUCAUUUAUAGUAUUUCAUCAUCAUAAAAUUUGAAUCAUAGAAGUUGAGUUUUGCGAGUAUAAUUUUUGUCUCUUAAAUUUUUAUCCUAUUUUUUUUUUUUUUUUGGUUAGUUUUAGACGCUCAAAUCCUCACAACAAACUAGUAUCAAAUAUUACUUUGUAGUACUUAUAAUAUAUUUUAAAAUAACAUGUAAUGCACAUUCAACUUUGACUAGUUUAUAUAUAUAUAUUAGAGAGAGAGAGAGAGAGAGAGAGAGGGGUGUUAAAGCAUCAUCACAAAAAAAAAAAAAAAAAUGAUUUGGACGAAAAAAUUCAAAAAUCUUUAGAAUAAUGUGUAAUGUACAUUCAACUUUGACUAGUUUAUAUAUAUAUAUAUAACAUCAUUACACAAAAAAAAAUGGAUAUGGACGUAACGAUUCAAAAAUCUGACCAAUUUUAUACUUUCAUAUAAAAAUUGGAAGACCAAGAGAAAAAUAAAAUGAAAACUCAUGAAUGUACUAUUUAUUUUUUAUUUUUAUUUUUUUUACACUGAAGAACAUAAGUCUUUUUGGGAAAUAAUUCUUUGUCAUAUAAAUGUAAGUAUUAUUUUGGGCCCUCAUCAAUGCAAGCCCUUGGACAAUAGUUUACCCUGCUUGAAGUCGGCGCUGGCACUAUUUGUGCUCAAUAUUGCUAUUGAAUUAUAGUUUAAGUUUGAGCAUUUUAUAUUUAAGGAUUUGAUAUUUCUACAGUUGAAAAUAAACACGAGAAUUUUGAAUGUUUUAGUUUUUGAAGCACAAUAAUUGUCUCAAUUGUGUGGACAAUAAAAUCUCUAUAGAAUAUUAAUAGUGGGAUCUAAUAAAAUUAUACCUAAUUUAUUAAAUGAUUGAUAUAUGAUGUGAAGCAAUUUCUAAUAAACCCUUCUAAACGUGAAGGAUGCGAACACCUAUUUAAUUAUCCUACUAAAAACAAUAAAAUCAUGGACUAGCCUACUAACAAAGUGAAUGCUUUGACGAAUGUGCCUAGAGAAAAUGAUCAUGAUUUAUAUGUAUGUGAUAAUUGUAUUUUACAAAAUCUUUUUUUCCAAAAGGAAGAUUUUUAAGCAUCAGUCUUUAAAAAAUUAGAGAUGCUGUUGAGUCUCCGUUGAGUACAAAAAAAACAAAUUUAUAUGCAUAUUUUAAAAUUAUAAAAUGAAAACAAAAAAGAAUUUGUCAAAUAAAAUUCAUUAAAAUGUAUUAGAAAAUGUUACAAAUUUAAUCCAUUAUUAUUUUUAUUUUUAUUGGCCCCCAAUGAAUUUUGAAUAAAACUAUUAUUUUAUUCAAUAAAGAAGAUUAUUAAUUUUUAGUAAAUUGGCCAUAGUUGAGAUCGAUGAAUUUCGUUAUUUAAGCUAGAUUUUUUAUUUAUCAAACACUUGUUUAUAAAAAUUUAUUGUGCACUAAUUUUUUGAGCUACAAUAUGUUUUUAAUUUACGCCAUAUUAUUUUCCCGUUUUCAAAGUUUUCUAACAAUUAAGUCAUCUUGUAUUAACAAUGACUGUUUUUGCGACAUUACUGAAUAAAUGUCAGUAGUUGAGAUGAUAAUUUGGACCAAAAUGGAGGAUGAUUUUCUUACUAAUUGUAUGUCACUCUACAUCGAAUAUCUUCUUCUUCUUCUUUUAUUUUUUUAAUUAUUUUUUUAUUUUUGCAAAUCGAGAAUUGAUAAUUGAUUGAGCCCAGGAUAGUUCUUGGUCCUAAACCAGAAUUGUAGGUAUCCGAAUAGAAUCGAUUUUUUAAUAUAUUUUUUUAUUUAAAUUUAUAGGUUGUAUAAAGAAACGCAAAAUCCAAAACCCUAAUUUAGAUAGUAAUUACCCUAAAACUCUAGACUUUAUGUAUAAGAAAUCAAGAUUUGAAAUCAAGAUUGACUCCUUUUUUUUUUUUUUUUUUGGCCUCUCACCUCACAUCAUAUUGCUGCAUUUCAGAAGUUAGUAGGUGUUAUUCUUUGCAAUUUAAGCUUUUUAUGUAUCGAAAAAAUUUAAGUUAGGUUGUAGUGUAAGUUGAUUAAUCAAAACGUUCAUCCUUUGCAAUUCAAGUUUUUUUACUUUCUAGUAUUGUUUACAAACUUAAGUGAUUUUUCAAAUUUAUUUAUUUAUUUAUAAUGUAUGAAAUUGAACUUGAUAUAUUUAUAGUUUGGGCUGUCGUGUACCUUUUGGGAUAUCUUGAGUUCGUGAUUCUCGUUUGAAAUAAAUUUUUCCUUUUUUAUUCAAAUAUAGUGAAUUCAAUAUGUAGAUUGCAAUUUUUUGAUAUAAUACAGUUACGUAUCUAAUUAGUAUUUCUUAUAUUAAGAGUAGAAGAAUUUAAGCAAUAUUCAUAAUUAAAUUAAAUGCUCUAACAUGCCUUGCUUAUUAAUCGAAUAAGAUUUAUUAUAAAAAUAAUAUACUUGUAUAAGUAUAAAUACUUUAAAUAAUUUUCUAAAGAGAUAAGCAGCUAUUUGGCUCAACUGAGCCGGAAGAAUUCCCAAUGGCGUUAAUGCAUGACGAAUGAGCCGGCUCAUUUUUAUAGGUCAGCUUAACAUCUUCCAAGGUAAUAUCACUGCAUGGAUUUCCUUUGCUGCAGUCAAAUUUCACUGCAGUUUCUGUUGCUGAACUCCCAUGUAUGUCUUGAUAUGUUACAUCACUAAUCUUCACGCCUGAAACCUGAAAAAAUUGAGACGGCUUUGCAUAAUUAAUUUACAAUUGAAUGGUGUAAAUUCUUUGAAUAUAUAUAUAUAUAUAUUAUUUAUUUUUAUAUGAGUUCCCAUAUCUUAAUUACCUGAUUGGGGCAAUUGUGAUCGUCGGGACAGUAAUUUUGAUCAAUAAUUAUGGCGUUUUGUACAUUAACCAUGACUAAAUGCUGGAAAAGAAUAUUUUUAACGAAUCCAUUGCUUGGCCUGGCCCAUGUCUUCACCCUCGCCCCAUUUUGAGUUCCUGUAAAUGUUGCUGAUUUAACUGUCACAUUUUCCACUCCAGGUUCUUGCAAAUCCCAGCCUAGACUCCCAAUGCUGCAGAAAAGGAGCACAAAUUAGUUAUCUCAGCUAAAUAAAUUGUUGGGAUACAUUAUGUUAUACUUCCUCUGCUCCAAAAAAUAGAAUUGCUUUCCUUUUUUGUCUAUCCCAAAAUAAAGGUCACUUUCCUUGUUGAGAUUAUAAUUAAUUUCUUAGUUUUCUAAUAAAAUCCUAUUUGAAGUGUCUUGUUAUCAACAAAUAUGAAUUAUUCUUAUUUAAGCCAUUAUGUAAUGUAGAAAUAUGUUGGGAAAAAAAUAUAAGAAAAAUUUAUAUUUUCAACUAUAUUACUUACAUGUUUCUUAAUUCGUGCGAAAAUAGAAAUAUGUUUAUCGUUGUGGGACGUAAGGAGCAUGAUUAUAUCUAUUUUAAUGAAGAUUGUGUAGUUGAAAAUAAGUAUUGUAGAAAAAAUAAUGUGGUAGAAUAGCUAUCAAUUUUUAAUUUACGUUUUUAGUACCUAAUUCCGUGGCCAGGGCCGCAUGCAAUAGUCUCAAUCCACAAGUUCGAGGUGCCGGGGCCUAUAGAGACACAAUCAUUUCCGGUGCCAAUUUGAGAGUUCAUAAUUGUGACUCCUGUUGAUUUCUCCACGUGAAUUCCGUCGGUGUUUGGACUGUUGCCUGGUGCAGCAACCUUUAUUCCCACUAGCUUGGCAUUG